RNAcentral lists this ribosomal RNA (492 nucleotides) under uncultured bacterium. RNAcentral describes it as "partial 16S ribosomal RNA". It matches the Rfam family "Bacterial small subunit ribosomal RNA", at positions 29 to 507 of the family's 1533-position model. The record is from RNAcentral.
AGUGAACGCUGGCGGCAUGCCUAACACAUGCAAGUCGAACGACAGCACACUAAGCUUUUUCUUUUACUGUUGGCGAGUGACGGACGGGUUACGCGUACAUCACAUUCUUCUUUUUCUUGGAUGACUUCGUAGAACCAUUUCCAAUAAUACCUCAUAUUUUCUACCGCUUAGAUCAAGAGUUCUUCUGACUUUGCCCGUCUCUUUGAGCUGAUUUCGCAUUAGCUAGUUGGCUGGGUAAAGUACCACCAAGGCAACGAUGCAUAGCUGAUCUGAGAGGAUGAUCGGCCACACUGGAACUGAGACACGGUCCAGACUCCUACGGGAGGCAGCAGUAGGGAAUAUUGGACAAUGGGCGAAAGCAUGACGCAGCAAUGCCGCGUGAGUGAAGAAGGCCUUCGGAUUGUAAAACCCUUUUAUUGGGAAAGAAAAGAAGUAGAAGAAAACCUGGAUAUUUUGACGGUACCUAAAGAAAAAGCACCGGCUAACUACGUG